Dendronephthya gigantea is the source of this 513-nucleotide long non-coding RNA. RefSeq lists it as uncharacterized. NCBI's taxonomy places the organism in Eukaryota, Metazoa, Cnidaria, Anthozoa, Malacalcyonacea, Nephtheidae. The record is from RefSeq and is a predicted model, not a curated record. The transcript is spliced from 3 exons.
CAAAACAGCAAAGCAGCACCUCGAAGUCUCAUUCACAAGACCUGGCCGAAGGCGACUAACUAGCAGUGGAGAACAAAGCAAAAAGAAAGGGAGAAUGAAAGUUGAAAUAGCUUCUUUCCUGGUGUUGGUGGUGGUGGUGUUCGCCUCAGCGAGAACUUGGGACAAGUCGUUCAGAUUUUACGACCAAGCCGGUACAUCUUCAUGUGAAAGGGACAAAGAGUGCAAGUGUGAAAAAUUCUUCGAGGGAAUUCGAGGACAGGGUUGCUCGGAAGGUCGGCACAAUUGCGAUGGUUCUAAAUCCUGUUACACCUACACAUGGCAUGCCUGUUGUUUGGAUUAGGAAAGAGAGGAUCAAGUACAGAAUGACAGCAUAUUCAUAAACACCCUUUAAAGGUCUAAAAUAGAAGUAGAAAUAAAAACUGGACAUCAGCAGUGUUUUUCGCAUUUCAUAAUAUGCAUGGGUACUAUUACUACUAGUUGACAUAGACUCUAAAAUACAUGUGCUUUUUUCAA